UACGAAGGGGGCUAGCGUUGCUCGGAAUCACUGGGCGUAAAGCGCACGUAGGCGGAUUGUUAAGUCAGGGGUGAAAUCCUGGAGCUCAACUCCAGAACUGCCUUUGAUACUGGCGAUCUCGAGUCCGGGAGAGGUGAGUGGAACUGCGAGUGUAGAGGUGAAAUUCGUAGAUAUUCGCAAGAACACCAGUGGCGAAGGCGGCUCACUGGCCCGGUACGGACGCUGAGGUGCGAAAGCGUGGGGAGCAAACAGG
RNAcentral lists this ribosomal RNA (253 nucleotides) under uncultured bacterium. RNAcentral describes it as "partial 16S ribosomal RNA". It matches the Rfam family "Bacterial small subunit ribosomal RNA", at positions 524 to 776 of the family's 1533-position model. The record is from RNAcentral.